UACGGGGGGGGCGAGCGUUGUUCGGAAUCAUUGGGCGUAAAGGGUGCGUAGGUGGUGCUGUAAGUCUGACGUGAAAUCUCUGGGCUUAACCCAGAAUCCGCGCCAGGAACUGCAGUGCUGGAGUGUGGGAGAGGAGAAUGGAAUUCCUGGUGUAGCGGUGAAAUGCGCAGAUAUCAGGAAGAACACCCGUGGCUAAGGCGGUUCUCUAGUACGGUACUGACGCUGAGACGCGAAAGCGUGGGGAGCGAACAGG
Molecule: ribosomal RNA, 253 nt
Filed under: uncultured bacterium
Lineage: Bacteria
Description: partial 16S ribosomal RNA
Rfam family: Bacterial small subunit ribosomal RNA
Source: RNAcentral